This 426-nucleotide ribosomal RNA is filed under the name uncultured bacterium. RNAcentral describes it as "bacterial SSU rRNA". It matches the Rfam family "Bacterial small subunit ribosomal RNA", at positions 355 to 773 of the family's 1533-position model. The record is from RNAcentral.
UGGGGAAUUUUGGACAAUGGGCGCAAGCCUGAUCCAGCCAUGCCGCGUGAGUGAAGAAGGCCUUCGGGUUGUAAAGCUCUUUCGGACGGGAAGAAAUGGCGGGCUCUAACAUAGCCUGUCGAUGACGGUACCGUAAGAAGAAGCACCGGCUAACUACGUGCCAGCAGCCGCGGUAAUACGAAGGGUGCAAGCGUUACUCGGAAUUACUGGGCGUAAAGCGUGCGUAGGUGGUUGUUUAAGUCUGAUGUGAAAGCCCUGGGCUCAACCUGGGAAUGGCAUUGGAAACUGGGCAGCUAGAGUGCGGUAGAGGGUAGUGGAAUUCCCGGUGUAGCUGUGAAAUGCGUAGAGAUCGGGAGGAACAUCUGUGGCGAAGGCGACUGCCUGGACCAGCACUGACACUGAGGCACGAAAGCGUGGGGAGCAAAC